Molecule: ribosomal RNA, 1107 nt
Filed under: Triticum aestivum (bread wheat)
Lineage: Eukaryota; Viridiplantae; Streptophyta; Magnoliopsida; Poales; Poaceae
Description: partial small subunit ribosomal RNA
Source: RNAcentral
AUGACAACCCAUGUGCAAGCGAAACUGAGAGAUGUGAAGAACAUGAAUUGGUGUAAGUUCAUUGCUGACUUACUGCAUGAUGCAUUCUCAAGCAAGAUGUACCAGAAGGGUUGUCGGUUGCAUUUAAUGCUCAUGUACGUCGACCGUCUUGAUCUGUCCAUCGUGGAUUUCACUGGGACAGGAGGCCCGCCGCCUACACACAAGUUUGCUGUUUCUGCAUGGACUUACGAUGAUGUCAAGGCUGUGCUUGUUGCAGACAGGGUAACUGAUUCUAAGUAUUUAGGAUUGCAGCUGAUGGCCAAGCAUGCUAUAGACUACAGCAUGUUUGGGGGGCCUCAAAACUUCGGAAAGUGGAUGGGUGUGCACUCAGCUCCGUCUUGCCCUACUGAGGCGAGGGCAUCUGUUAAGCAUCUAAUUGGGCAGUUUGGAUCCGGAAUGACCAGCUUGCUCGGGAAGUUGGUUGAGGGUUGGACGUCCCUUAAUGGCUCUGACAGCGAUGCGGUUGCGAGGCAGUUCAUUACAUUUGUCGCAGAACAGACACAUCGGCCAACUGGUUGCCAUGGCCGGUACGACUACAACAAUUCCCAAGAGCUUGCUGACACACAAGAUGAACUAGAUGGAGACGCUGGUCUCAACAAGGAUGAUGAAGAUGACAUGGAGAACGUGCAACACGACACCGAUGAUGAUGAACAUGUUGAAGUUCGUGCAGGUGGUAAGAAGGGCAAGGAUGCACCAUAUGUCCCCCCACUGAAGAAAGACAAAGAACAUACAGCUGCGAGAGGCGAGGGGGUGUUGCCCUCAAAGAGGGGGAGAGCUCCAGAGGAUGUUGGGCAGGGUUCUCCUGGCAAGAGGUCUAGGACCGAUCCCGUAGCUGUUAGGAGGAGUGAAGCGACAACUGGUGGACGAGUAGUUACGAAGAAACAGGCACCAACGCCAACCCGUGUUUCUGCUCGAUUGAACAAAGGUGCCCCCAUUGCUGGUGACACCCCUUCCAACAGGUCAUCUCCUCGUAUGACGACAUCCAACAUCGGGGAUCCUGUCGUGUUGCCAGACAUGAGAAAGCCAGGUGAAGAAGACUACUACACGUGCGACCAAGCAUAUCCAUAG